GACAGAGGGUGCAAACGUUGUUCGGAAUUACUGGGCGUAAAGCGCGUGUAGGCGGCUAAGUAAGUCGGGCGUGAAAUCCCACGGCUCAACCGUGGAAGUGCACUCGAAACUGCAUAGCUAGAGUCCUGGAGAGGAAGGUGGAAUGCUUGGUGUAGAGGUGAAAUUCGUAGAUAUCAAGCGGAACACCGGUGGCGAAGGCGG
RNAcentral lists this ribosomal RNA (201 nucleotides) under uncultured bacterium. RNAcentral describes it as "partial 16S ribosomal RNA". It matches the Rfam family "Bacterial small subunit ribosomal RNA", at positions 524 to 724 of the family's 1533-position model. The record is from RNAcentral.